RNAcentral lists this transfer RNA (69 nucleotides) under Pelomedusa subrufa. RNAcentral describes it as "tRNA-Ala". It matches the Rfam family "tRNA". Rfam says of the family: Transfer RNA (tRNA) molecules are approximately 80 nucleotides in length. Lineage: Eukaryota; Metazoa; Chordata; Testudines; Pelomedusidae. The record is from RNAcentral.
AAGACUUUAGCCUAAUGAAAGCGUCUGAGUUGCAUUCAGUUGAUAUAGGAUAAAAUCCUAUAGGCCUUA